UUGCUACCUGCUCCUUGGAUAGCACGAACAAAACACAUACUUCACCACUAUUGAUCUUCUCUUUUAGAAAAUGCUUGUCAAUCUCCACUUGCUUGGUGAGAACAUAAUGGACCAAAUUAUAGGUAAUACUAAUUGCGGCCUUAUUAUCACAAAUAAUCUUUAUAAGCUUCAUACACGGAAACUUCAAUUCUUCUAGUAGUCUCCUUAUCCAAAUUAUUUCACACACUUCAGGGACUAAUGCUCGAAGUUCUGCCUUCGCAACUUCAGGCUACUUCAUUAUUUUUCCUUUAACUAAAUUUUCCCAAACAAUUGUACCAUAACCAGAAGUGGAUUUUCUAUCAUUCAAUUGAGCCUGCCCCAAUCUGCAUCUAUAUAAACUUCCACACCUCUUUCUACAUUCUUCCCAAAAAAAAACAAUACUUUCCUAGUCCUAUAAACUGCAUCUAAAUGCCCUUGAAAUGGAUAGUGCAUAUAUUAACUGACCAUGCUUACUGCAAAAGCAAUAUCAAGUUAAGUAUGUGACAAAUAAAUCAAUCUUCCAACUAUUCUCUCAUAUCUCUCCCCGUAUAUUGGAUUUCUUGCCUCUUUACCCAAUUUUCCAUUAGGCUCAACCGGAGUUUCACAAGGUUUACAGCCAAGCAUACUUGUUUAUUUCAAUGAAUCCAUCAUAUACUUUUCUUUGAGAUAUGAAGAUACUGAUAGGCUCCAAUCCACCUCACACAUUCUAGAAGGACCAAGAAGAAGAAUAACCUGCAAAUGGGUGGAAAGCUAGACUGUUAGAGUAUAAAAAGUGGGAGAGAAAAACAGUUACAAAUAGCUCUCAAAUAAAGAAGGGGAGGGGAAAGGAUUUGGCAUGCAAAAUAGUGAAUUAAAACUAUAUCGUGGAGAGUACAACCCUUUCGAAAUGCUGAUUGUAUUUCCUUUAUUUCUGUAAUUCAUCUUGUCAUCAAUACGGUUCUAUAGUGGAGUCCUUAUAAGAGAGAACUGACCGCCUACAAUUUGAGUUAGGUGCAAUGAAAAUUGAAUUUCUGAGAGCAAUGUCUAGAAUGAUAGAGAGGUUCGAUUUGAUGAUGAGAAAAAUGGAUUAGCAAGAAAGAGAGUGGAAUGAAAAAGAAAUAGCAGAGAACUCACCUGAGCUGGCGAUUUCUGAAGCCCCUUUGCCGGUGAAUUUGACUGGAAACAUUGAGACACAGAAAAUCCCACCCAAAACUAACGAAGUGGGAUAAAGUGCAGUUAGUCGAAGCUGCUGUGAGGAAACCAUUGUAAGAAGAAAUCGGAAACUAACUGAAAUCUUACCAUCACCAUUGCCAAAGUAGAAGAGAUCGGAGAUGGAAAGGAUCUUUGCAAUUCGGCUAAAUCUGGAGAAGAGGAACGAAUGGAAAUUAUUGAAUUGGAUGGAUUUGGACUUUGGCAGGGAGGUGGACCAGUAGGUAGAAGAUCGAAAUGAGUAUUUAAAACAAGCCCAAUUAAGUUUUGGCCCGUCCAUAAUCAAAACUAACUCCAGCAGCCCACAUAUUAGCUACAACCCACGUGUUUUCCCUUAUCAAAACUACUCCACCAGCGUAGUUCCAUUCGCGGGGCAUUCCAAAACCCGUGACUCAAUCCCAGUGACCACCACACUACGACCUGCUAACACGAUGAAGGUGGCGUCGUUGUUUAAGAGGUUGACGGUUGUCGAGCUUCAUACAAAAAGGGAGAAGGGGCUGCAUCUCGACAAGAAGAUUGUGGUAGAGACAUCGUGCAAGGUUUUGGCGAUGGAUGCGUUCAAUGACAAAGAAGCAUCUGUUGGAGCCUUCUGGUGGUUUCUUUGCACCACUUUGGGCCGACCGUAUCCAACUCAAUGUAAAGAAGGUUUCGCGUCUGGAAGGGCUCAUCAAGAUAGCAUAUCUCACUGGAAAUCUGGCGGCUAUCUGCACUCCAUCUGAUUACAAUAAGUUAGAAGACCUAGUGGGAUUAAAUUCAUUAAUGGGCUAAAAUUAGACACUUGGGCUGAAGUUGUUCUAUUAUGUCCCAAUGGGUUAGGCUCUAUUGUCAAAAUGACAUAACUAAUUGAAGACAAAAAUUAAGUGGGUAUGACAGCCCAAAAUCCAGGUGGACCCAAAUAUACCAUGCUAGCUACACCUUUAAAUGUGUGUGCUUCAAAUGGGAUAGAAAUCUUUCCUACCAAAAUCUUGACGAUGG
Molecule: long non-coding RNA, 2181 nt
Filed under: Olea europaea subsp. europaea
Lineage: Eukaryota; Viridiplantae; Streptophyta; Magnoliopsida; Lamiales; Oleaceae
Source: RNAcentral